ACUUAUCACAGUCGCUGAUUCUGUCUUUUCGCAGGUCAAGUUAAGAGAAGUAAAUUCGGAGGAUACCUGGUCAAAGAUGAUGACUUCAAAAUAGCGUAUGUCAGUUUGCCUGCAACAGAAAGCUUUGAGUUCCCCAACCUGUUCCCGGAGGACAAGAAAGACGAGGAGGACAAGCAGAUGGAACAGAUGGACGCUUUGAGGAAGGAAUGGGUGAAGAACAAGAACAGGGACAAGCAUCGGCAGGGAACACCAUCUUGGCUGGGAUUGUGAGAUGGGCCGGGCAUGCUUGCAGCUUUGCCCAGAUCUAUAGAUACUCUGUCUUUAGGUAUCUCUAGAAUGGUCAUUUGAUUACCAUAGGAAGAGCGGAAGUCAGUCCAUUGUCAGAACAUUUUCUGUGACUUCAUUCUGAAAGAUGCAGAGUAUGUCAAGUCUCCAGAUAGUUAGGCUGUUUCUUUUUUCUUAAUUUGAUUAAAAUGGAUGUAGGAUUCAGAUUGGUUGUAUAGACAUUUUUCAGUCAAAGCUUUGUCCUAAAUUGUUAGAGCAGAUUAAUUUAAAGGAUAAAAUUUAGAUAAUGAUGAUUAUAAUAUUGUGUCAAAGUGCUAUUUGAUUGAUGACUUUUUAGUUUUGAAUAAGAAAGAAAACAUUGUAUUGAAUUGUUAGCUAAUGAAUUUGGCAGUCUGUUAGCUGAAUAUCCUGGAAUACUGUGCACAUUGGAGCUUUUUGAUAGAUACUUUUGUGGUCAUUUUAACAUCAUUUUUACAAUAGCAUCACCAUGUACAUAAUUUGUUAAUAAUGUUUUUUGUAAAUAAAGAUGAAAAAGAACAA
Molecule: long non-coding RNA, 825 nt
Organism: Penaeus indicus
Lineage: Eukaryota; Metazoa; Arthropoda; Malacostraca; Decapoda; Penaeidae
Exons: 2
Source: RefSeq, a predicted model, not a curated record